GGGUCUUUGUUUUUGGUGUUUUAGAGUCGGUGAAGGCUUUAAAGGAAGUAGGCAGCUGGAACUCGGCUAUGGCGGGGUUGAAAAGCCCGGACGUUUGAGAGCUGAGACUUGCCAGUUCCCAUAGGCCAAGCCAGGCGUCUGCACCCCGUUCUCUUGGCUCCGACGAUGGAGUCUUGCUCUGUCACCCAGACUGGAGUACAGUGGUGUGAUCUCAGCUCACUGCAACCUCCACUUCCCAGGUUCAAGCAAUUCUCCUGCCCCAGCUUCCCAAGCAGUUGGGACUACAGAAUAUGCUCUCCAUGAGGGAGCUCUUCAGGACCUACCACAAUGGCUGGCACUAGAGAAGGGCACAAAAUUGAAGAACAGUGAAGACAAAAGCAAUAAGAUAAUUAAGGCCAUGUGAGACAGCAACAAUAUCAGCUGAAUGUCACCCUUUAUCGAGUUGGUCUCACUCUGUCGCCCAGGCUGGAGUGCAGUGGUUCAGUCUGAGCUCCGUGCAGCCUCAACCUCCCCAGGCUCAUGUGAUCCUCGCACGUCAGCUUCCAGAGUAGCUGGAACCACAGCCUGGAGUACAGGGUGUGACCAUAGCUCCACACGGCCUCAAAACUCCUGGGCUCAAGCGAUCCUCCUGCCUCAGGCUCCCAAGCGGCUAGAACUACAGGUCUUAGUGGUCACUCAUCCAACCUCCUCAUUCCUCACUGGCCCACAUCAGAUGAGUCAGUUCCUUCAUCAGUGAUGGCACAGUGAUUGCAGGGAACGCUCAGCCUCCUUGGCUCUGAUUCUGCCUUAACGGAAGGGAGCCCUUCUGACUUGACCUCAUGGGUGCCAUCGAGUGUGGUUCCAGCUCCGCAUGUUCCUGACUACUGCACAAGUCUGGGAGGUGAGGGAUGUGGGAGACACAGCUCUCAGAGCCUCUUACAGAAACAACGAGCCUGGUGCUGCGGUGGCAAGAAACAGACACUGACCCCGACCCCAAGGGAAAUUCACAAGAAGGCUAUGGAGUCCCUCACAACAUGGAAGGGGAAAUUGAAGAGCCUGGUCUGGAAAAGACAGAAAACAGGGAGGCCGUGGGGACCUAGAAGCUGGAACCAACUGAGAGUCUCAUCUGGCCACACUGUAAAGAUGUGUCAGCCCCAACCUCUUCUUGGCUUUUGCUUCCUCCAUUCAAGGGUCAGAGUCUGAGUGCCUAGGUGGGCCCAGAGCCUUCCUUCUCCAGCCUCCCUGCUGCCCCAGAGAGGACAAACACCAUUUCUGACUCCCCUGCAUACUCAAGAGUGCCAUUCUCAGGAUCACAGUAGAGGCAGGACUGAGAAAACAAGUGCUCAUGAGGCUGAUGGGCUGCCUUGGCUUUCUCAGCAGCAGAAGAAUUCUGGGAUGCUCACCUCCCAGAAGACCCUCCACAGUUCCCAAGAGCCUCUUCAUCCAUGAUGAGGGUGACAAAACUUCUCUGAGUCUCAGACAGCUUUGAGACUGGGAUGGAAACAGAGGAUUGCAUAAGUUUCAGGGGGCUGCUGGACCCCCAGUCCUGAAUCCUGACUCUGGGACACCUUCUCUAGCCCGUGUCUGCCUGGCUCAGCUGCAGGCCUCAUACACUGCCUCCCUAGGACCUGCAGUUGAACCAUUCCAUGCUCAUGGACACGUGGAUUACACCAGCAGGGCCCUAGGCCUCUUCCUAACCUCAGAAUUUUUUUUUUUUUCCUAAAAGGGCAAGGCACUAUUUUAGUCACUGUUUUGCAGGGAGAAAAAAAAGUCCUGUUUAUCCUUAUGAUUCAUGUUGGUGGUUUUUGGAUAAUGUUGUAUUGAUUCAUGACGACUCACUCAGCAUCUGGUAUGAAUUAAAUGAGACUUUCUCUUUUUGACAGUAAAA
Pongo pygmaeus (Bornean orangutan) is the source of this 1867-nucleotide long non-coding RNA. RefSeq lists it as uncharacterized. The record is from RefSeq and is a predicted model, not a curated record. NCBI's taxonomy places the organism in Eukaryota, Metazoa, Chordata, Mammalia, Primates, Hominidae. The transcript has 6 exons.